AAUCAACGCUGGCGGCGUGCCUCAGACAUGCAAGUCGAACGCGAAAGUCCCCUUCGGGGGGCGAGUAGAGUGGCGCACGGGUGAGUAACACGUAGGUAAUCUACCCCCGAGUGGGGAAUAACUCAGGGAAACUUGAGCUAAUACCGCAUAAUGCAGCGGCACCACAUGGUGACAGUUGUUAAAGCAUUUAUGCGCUUGGGGAGGAGCCUGCGGCAGAUUAGCUAGUUGGUAAGGUAAUGGCUUACCAAGGCUACGAUCUGUAACCGGCCUGAGAGGGCGGACGGUCACACUGACACUGAAUAACGGGUCAGACUCCUACGGGAGGCAGCAGUCGGGAAUUUUGGGCAAGUGGGCGAAAGCCUGACCCAGCAACGCCGCGUGAAGGA
RNAcentral lists this ribosomal RNA (386 nucleotides) under uncultured bacterium. RNAcentral describes it as "bacterial SSU rRNA". It matches the Rfam family "Bacterial small subunit ribosomal RNA", at positions 32 to 408 of the family's 1533-position model. The record is from RNAcentral.